This 80-nucleotide non-coding RNA is filed under the name human gut metagenome. Its description in RNAcentral is "pemK RNA". It matches the Rfam family "pemK RNA". The record is from RNAcentral.
ACAAUGAUACUUCUGCUUAGCCACAAUCUCAAAUAAUGGGAGCAGUUCUGUGCGAACCACAGGAAGGUGAGAUACCUAUG